This 99-nucleotide small nuclear RNA is filed under the name Sciurus vulgaris (Eurasian red squirrel). Lineage: Eukaryota; Metazoa; Chordata; Mammalia; Rodentia; Sciuridae. The record is from RNAcentral.
GUGCUCCCAUAGCACACAUGCUAAAAUUGGAACAAUACAGAGAUUAGCAUGGCCCCUACACAAGGAUGACAUGCAAAUUGUGAGGCAUUCGAUAUUUUG